GCCGCCGGACGGGUGGUCGCUGCCGCCAACCAGCGGGGUUCGCUUCGCCAGGGGCGGUGGAGGAAAGUCCGGUCUCCACAGGGCAGCGUGCCGGCUAACGGCCGGGCGGACCGCUUGCGGUUCGACGGAUAGUGCCACAGAAAAUAUACCGCCGCGGGCAACCGCGGUAAGGGUGAAAUGGUGCGGUAAGAGCGCACCGCGGCUGGAGUAAUUCAGCCGGCAGGGAAAACCCCACGCGGAGCAAGACCAAAUAGGGGAGGAGGGGCGGCCCGCUCCGUUCGACUUCCGGGUAGGUCGCUAGAACCGUUCAGUAAUGGACGGUCCAGAUGAAUGACCGCCGCCCGCAAGGGCACAGAAACCGGCUUACAGUCCGGCGGCCUCA
This 382-nucleotide RNase P RNA is filed under the name Acidobacteriota bacterium. Its description in RNAcentral is "RNase P RNA component class A". It matches the Rfam family "Bacterial RNase P class A". From Rfam's summary of the family: Ribonuclease P (RNase P) is a ubiquitous endoribonuclease, found in archaea, bacteria and eukarya as well as chloroplasts and mitochondria. Its best characterised activity is the generation of mature 5'-ends of tRNAs by cleaving the 5'-leader elements of precursor-tRNAs. Cellular RNase Ps are ribonucleoproteins. Lineage: Bacteria; Pseudomonadati; Acidobacteriota. The record is from RNAcentral.